AUAUCAAAAUGAUAAGAGGAGUAUCGGAUAUUAAACUGAUAAGAGAACAAUAUAUUAAAUGGAUUUUUGGAGCAGAGUGAUGGAAUAGGAGCUUCCUCCGUCCACUCCACGCAUCGACCUGGUAUUGCAGUACCUCCGGGAACGGUGCACCCCCU
This is a small nuclear RNA of Nomascus leucogenys (northern white-cheeked gibbon), 155 nucleotides long. Its record names the gene U2. It matches the Rfam family "U2 spliceosomal RNA". From Rfam's summary of the family: U2 is a small nuclear RNA (snRNA) component of the spliceosome (involved in pre-mRNA splicing). The record is from Ensembl. NCBI's taxonomy places the organism in Eukaryota, Metazoa, Chordata, Mammalia, Primates, Hylobatidae.